GGGGAUAUAGCUCAGUUGGUAGAGCAUCGCGUUUGCAACGCGAGGGUCAUCGGUUCGAGUCCGUUUAUCUCCA
Molecule: transfer RNA, 73 nt
Filed under: Planctomycetia bacterium
Lineage: Bacteria; Pseudomonadati; Planctomycetota; Planctomycetia
Description: tRNA-Ala
Rfam family: tRNA
About the family: Transfer RNA (tRNA) molecules are approximately 80 nucleotides in length. Their secondary structure includes four short double-helical elements and three loops (D, anti-codon, and T loops). Further hydrogen bonds mediate the characteristic L-shaped molecular structure. tRNAs have two regions of fundamental functional importance: the anti-codon, which is responsible for specific mRNA codon recognition, and the 3' end, to which the tRNAs corresponding amino acid is attached (by aminoacyl-tRNA synthetases). tRNAs cope with the degeneracy of the genetic code in two manners: having more than one tRNA (with a specific anti-codon) for a particular amino acid; and 'wobble' base-pairing, i.e. permitting non-standard base-pairing at the 3rd anti-codon position.
Source: RNAcentral